CUGGUCUUGACAUCCACGGAAGUUUUCAGAGAUGAGAAUGUGCCUUCGGGAACCGUGAACAGGUGCUGCAUGGCUGUCGUCAGCUCGUGUUGUGAAAUGUUGGGUUAAGUCCCGCAACGAGCGCAACCCUUAUCCUUUGUUGCCAGCGGUCCGGCCGGGAACUCAAAGGAGACUGCCAGUGAUAAACUGGAGGAAGGUGGGGAUGACGUCAAGUCAUCAUGGCCCUUACGACCAGGGCUACACACGUGCUACAAUGGCGCAUACAAAGAGAAGCGACCUCGCGAGAGCAAGCGGACCUCAUAAAGUGCGUCGUAGUCCGGAUUGGAGUCUGCAACUCGACUCCAUGAAGUCGGAAUCGCUAGUAAUG
Molecule: ribosomal RNA, 367 nt
Filed under: uncultured bacterium
Lineage: Bacteria
Description: bacterial SSU rRNA
Rfam family: Bacterial small subunit ribosomal RNA
Source: RNAcentral